Ictidomys tridecemlineatus (thirteen-lined ground squirrel) is the source of this 604-nucleotide long non-coding RNA. RefSeq lists it as uncharacterized. The record is from RefSeq and is a predicted model, not a curated record. Lineage: Eukaryota; Metazoa; Chordata; Mammalia; Rodentia; Sciuridae.
AAGGAGAGGUGAAGCCUGCUGAGAUUGGACAUGGGGACCUCAGGAGUGACCCAUAGGGAGUCUUCCAUUGGUGUCAUUCAAUCAUCUACUUGAAGCCAGCAUAUUACCAAGAUCUUCUAACCUCAACUCAAGAAAAUAGGAUUGUGGACCACUUAUUUUGGCUGCAAGUAUCAAACUCCACUAUCCAAAGUAUAAAUAAUAAGAACAUGUAAGAUCUUGCAUUGUUGAAAGAUCUAGGGGCUUCUUGGGGUUGGGGUUGGCUCAUCUCAAGAUUAUUUUCAAGGCUGAGAAUGACAUGUUGUACAGUCCCAGACAUCCCUUUGGGAUGGGACAAUGUCCAGAGGAAGAAGUGAGACCUUCUCAUCUUGUGUUUCCCACAUAAAGAAAAGAAUUCUUUCCCAGAAGCCACUUGUCAUUAGCCAGAAGGGGUCUCAUGCCCAAUUCCAAAGUGAUUGCUGGAGAGAAAGAUAUUAUGGUCGUGACUGGUUUGGAGCCACCAGUCCAGGAGUAAGGUUCUGGCUCUUUUUCUAGAUGGGGUUUUAUCACGCUGCUGAUCUGAUCUAUUACAGGUAAGCAACCCACACCCUUCAAAUUGCUCUCCAUU